Molecule: ribosomal RNA, 857 nt
Filed under: uncultured euryarchaeote
Lineage: Archaea; Methanobacteriati; Methanobacteriota
Description: bacterial SSU rRNA
Rfam family: Archaeal small subunit ribosomal RNA
Source: RNAcentral
UUCCGGUUGAUCCUGCCGGAGGCGACCGCUUUGGAAGUUCGAUUAAGCCAUGCGAGUCGUGAGUCUUAGGGACUCGGCAUACUGCUCAGUAACACGUGGAUAACCUGCCCUAUCGUCUGGAAUAACCUCGGGAAACUGAGAAUAAGGCCGGAUAGUUCACAAUGCCUGGAACGGUUUGUGAAUCAAGGUAGGAUGGGUCUGCGGCGUAUCAGGUUGUAGGGGGUGUAAAGGACCCCCUAGCCUUCGACGCGUACGGGUGUUGGGAGACAUAGCCCGGAGAUGGAUUCUGAGACACGAAUCCAGACCCUACGGGGUGCAGCAGGCGCGAAAACUUCACACUGCAGGAAACUGUGAUGAGGGAACUCCUAGUGCAUGCACUAUGUGUAUGUAGAUCCUACUCUUAACAAGUAGAGGGAAAGGGCUGGGAAAGACCGGUGCCAGCCGCCGCGGUAAUACCGGCAGCUCAAGUGGUCGUCGCUUUUAUUGGGCCUAAAACGUCCAUAGCCUGUUUGGUAAAUCUGUGGGUAAAUCAAUCCGCUCAACGGAUUGAAUUCUGCAGAGACUGCCAGACUAGGGACCGGGAGAGGUGUGGGGUACUCGAGGGGUAGGGGUAAAAUCCUGUCAUCCUUCGAGGACCACCAGUUGCGAAGGCGCCACACUGGAACGGAUCCGACGGUCAGGGACGAAGCCUAGGGGCACGAACCGGAUUAGAUACCCGGGUAGUCCUAGGUGUAAACGCUGUGAACUUGGUGUCGGGGGUCCGCAAGGGGUCCCCGGUGCCGGAGUGAAGAUGUUAAGUUCACUGCCUGGGAGUACGGUCGCAAGGCUGAAACUUAAAGGAAUUGGCGGGGCAGCAC